Molecule: long non-coding RNA, 1012 nt
Organism: Limulus polyphemus (Atlantic horseshoe crab)
Lineage: Eukaryota; Metazoa; Arthropoda; Merostomata; Xiphosura; Limulidae
Exons: 3
Source: RefSeq, a predicted model, not a curated record
UCACUUCUUACCAUUCUUUACCCAAGAAAAAAUAAGAUAAAACUCUUCUACUCCUGAAAUCAUACCGUUAGCCCUUUUCUAAUCCAUUUCCAGUAAGUCGUAUCUUUCUUAGAAUAGGAUGUGGCCUAACUAGUACUUUAUAGAGAAAAUAAUUACCUUUUUAACACUUAUAAUCAAUAUGUGUAUACAUUCACCUUGCAUCAGAGCACUCUACUGAUGGCUUGAUCAACUUAAAUAUUACUUUCCAACUAUACUGAACUUGUGAUAUAAAUUAUGAUUACCCAAAUCCAUUAUGUCAUUUGUUAACUAUUUGUCCCACUUAACAAUUGAUCCAAGUCAUCAUGUAGCAUCUCAACAUCGUCAACAAAGCUAGAAAUACUGAAGAAUUUAAUGUCAUUAACAAACUUUAGUAAUUAAUGCCAGUAAGAAAACACAGCCCCAAGCACGGACCCCUGAAGCACUCCACUAGUAUUGUUAUUGAACAAUGUUCAGUAUUGACUCCUGUGGUAUUGUUAUUAAACAAGGUUACAUAUUAACUCCACUAGUAUUGUUAUUAAACAUGGUUACAUAUUAACUCCACUAGUAUUGUUAUUAAACAAGGUUCCAUAUUGACUCCACUAGUAUUGUUAUUAAACAAGGUUCCAUAUUGACUCCUGUAGUAUUGUUAUUAAACAUGGUUCCAUUUUUGACUCCACUAGUAUUGUUAUUAAACAUGGUUCCAUUUUGACUCCACUAGUAUUGUUAUUAAACAUGGUUACAUUUUGACUUCACUAGUAUUGUUAUUAAACAUGGUUACAUAUUGACUUCACUAGUAUUGUUAUUGAACAAUGUUCAGUAUUGACUCUACCAGUAUUGUUAUUAAACAUGGUUACAUAUUGACUCCACUAGUAUUGUUAUUAAACAAGGUUCCAUAUUGACUCCACUAGUAUUGUUAUUAAACAAGGUUACAUAUUGACUCCACUAGUAUUGUUAUUAAACAUGGUUACAUAUUGACUCCUGUAGUAUUGUUAUU